CCUACGGGGGGCUGCAGUGGGGAAUAUUGCGCAAUGGGGGCAACCCUGACGCAGCGACGCCGCGUGAGUGAUGAAGGCCUUUCUGGUUGUAAAGCUCUGUAAAGAGGGAAGAAUGUCAGGCGGUAACUCGUCUGAGUGACGGUACCUCUGAAGUAAGGACCGGCUAAACACGUGCCAGCAGCCGCGGUAAUACGUGUGGUCCUAGCGUUGUCCGGAAUAACUGGGCGUAAAGGGUGUGUAGGCGGACAUCCGUGUCAGGUGUGAAAUUCCCCGGCUUAACUGGGGCAUUGCGCUUGAAACUGGAUGUCUGGAGCGUGUCAGGGGUAAGCGGAAUUCCCGGAGUAGCGGUGAAAUGCGUAGAUAUCGGGAAGAACACCGGUGGCGAAGGCGGCUUACUGGGACAUGGCUGACGCUGAGGCACGAAAGCGUGGGGAGCGAACGGGCUUAGAUACCCUGGUAGUC
Molecule: ribosomal RNA, 462 nt
Filed under: uncultured bacterium
Lineage: Bacteria
Description: bacterial SSU rRNA
Rfam family: Bacterial small subunit ribosomal RNA
Source: RNAcentral